CACAGACUGAAAUCUCAGGAAAGCGCAUUUACACCCCUGAUUCCCCAGGCAGCCACUUCUCAUACACCAAGGCACAAGCCAGUUUCUCCAAGGACAAGGACAGUCGUCGUGAUUAUUAUUAUUUUUUUUAACACAAGCUUCUGUGAUGCAGUCUCCCUCCUCUAAUGUCCAUUUAUUUGAAUUCUGCCCCUUCUUAAUAAAAAUUUCACAUUUCCUGCACAUAAAACCACAGGGGUGGCUUACAGAAGGAGGGAGAGAGGAGAAGGCAGACCAGCCGGGAGAGUGACCAUCAGAAAGGAGGAGAGGGAUAAAGAAGGUCAGGUUCUUGGGGACAGGGGGAGGAUGCAGUCACCACCUGCUCCUUCCUCCAGGUGGCUCUCGCUCUGGGUCUGUCUGUGAUGAGCAGUCCCGUUUUCUGGUUUUCUCUUCUGUCACCUUGCCUGAUUCUUUGAAUCACAUCUGCCUUCCCCACUAACCACACCCCCUGAGGCCAAGGUCCUUGUUGAUGCCCCCAGUCCCUUUCCGUGUGGGCCACAAUGAUGUUCCACACACAUAUAUUUAAAGAACGGGUAACCCCUCUUGCCCACGGGAGUGCAAGUGGGCGAAUCGCCAGCUUGUUGCUGAUUUCCAGAAACUUCCACAGCUCUGAGGAACUGUCCUUCUCUGCAGUCAGCAUGCAAAGCUGCUCAGUAUCUGAGCCAUGGGACAUGAGAGCCAGACUUAGCCUGACUCUGGGGAGACGGAGGAGUGGGGAUGUUUUCCCUGUACCCCAGGACACUCCCCAUGCCUGUGGAGCUUCAUCAGGUCAACAUCAUUCCAUUUCAAGGGAUAGAAACAUUAACAACAGCAGGUGAAGUUCUUUACCUGUAACAGCUUAGGAC
RNAcentral lists this long non-coding RNA (881 nucleotides) under Suricata suricatta (meerkat). RNAcentral describes it as "lncRNA (ENSSSUG00005000744.1)". The record is from RNAcentral. Lineage: Eukaryota; Metazoa; Chordata; Mammalia; Carnivora; Herpestidae.